UACGUAGGGUGCGAGCGUUGUCCGGAAUUAUUGGGCGUAAAGGGCUCGUAGGCGGUUUGUCGCGUCGGGAGUGAAAACCCGGGGCUCAACCCCGGGCCUGCAUUCGAUACGGGCAGACUAGAGUUCGGUAGGGGAGUCUGGAAUUCCUGGUGUAGCGGUGAAAUGCGCAGAUAUCAGGAGGAACACCGGUGGCGAAGGCGGGUCUCUGGGCCGAUGACUGACGCUGGAGGAGCGAAAGCGUGGGGAGCGAACAGG
RNAcentral lists this ribosomal RNA (255 nucleotides) under uncultured bacterium. RNAcentral's name for it is "partial 16S ribosomal RNA". It matches the Rfam family "Bacterial small subunit ribosomal RNA", at positions 524 to 776 of the family's 1533-position model. The record is from RNAcentral.